CCUGCGGAGGGAUCAUUACACAACAAAAUAUGAAGGUCUGGCUUCGCGGCCGGCUGAAAUAUUUUUUUCACCCAUGUCUUUUGCGCACUUGUUGUUUCCUGGGCGGGUUCGCCCGCCACCAGGACCAAACCAUAAACCUUUUUUUUUAUGCAGUUGCAAUCAGCGUCAGUAAAAACAAUGUAAUUAAUUACAACUUUCAACAACGGAUCUCUUGGUUCUGGCAUCGAUGAAGAACGCAGCGAAAUGCGAUACGUAGUGUGAAUUGCAGAAUUCAGUGAAUCAUCGAAUCUUUGAACGCACAUUGCGCCCUUUGGUAUUCCAAAGGGCAUGCCUGUUCGAGCGUCAUUUGUACCUUCAAGCUUUGCUUGGUGUUGGGCGUUUUUGUCUCCCUCUUUCUGGGAGACUCGCCUUAAAACGAUUGGCAGCCGGCCUACUGGUUUCGGAGCGCAGCACAUAAUUUGCGCUUUGUAUCAGGAGAAAAGGACGGUAAUCCAUCAAGACUCUACAUUUUUAACUUUUGACCUCGGAUCAGGUAGGGAUACCCGCUGAACUUAAGCAUAUCAA
Molecule: ribosomal RNA, 564 nt
Filed under: Bipolaris zeae
Lineage: Eukaryota; Fungi; Ascomycota; Dothideomycetes; Pleosporales; Pleosporaceae
Description: eukaryotic LSU rRNA
Rfam family: 5.8S ribosomal RNA (bases 192-345)
Source: RNAcentral